Molecule: non-coding RNA, 73 nt
Organism: Podarcis lilfordi (Lilford's wall lizard)
Lineage: Eukaryota; Metazoa; Chordata; Lepidosauria; Squamata; Lacertidae
Source: the annotation of a GenBank genome assembly
UGCAUAGUGGUGUAAUGGUUAGGGUGUUGGACUGGGACCUGAGAGGCCAGGGGUUCAAAUCCCCACUAGGCCA